UGGGGCAGCCCAGCCCCAGCCUGGACCUCAGGAGGGCUGUGUCCACCAUGGCCUGGGCCCCUCUUCUCUUCCUGCUCUUCUCCCACUUCUCAGGGUCCUGGGCCCAGUCUGGGCUGACUCAGCCACCCUCAGUGUCUGAGGCCCUGGGCCAGAGCGUCACCCUCUCCUGCACUGGAAGCAGUAACAACAUCGGGAAAGACUAUGGUGUGCAGUGGUACCAAAAGCUCCCAGGGACAGCCCCCAGACUCCUCAUCUAUAGUAAUAGCAUUCGACCCUCAGGGAGCCUUCACCGAUUCUCUGGUUCCAAGUCUGGAACCUCAGCCUCCUUGACUAUCUCAGGGCUCCAGGCUGAGGAUGAGGCUGACUAUUACUGUCAGUCCUGGGACAGUGACCUCAGAGCUCACACAGUGCUCCAAGCCAGAGGGGAAGUGAGACAAGAACCUGCUAUCUUCAACCCUGGGGCUUCUCUGCUCAGCACCCACCAGGACCAAGUCAGAGUUCCUUUGUUUGUUUGGUCUAAAAUCUAG
Tupaia belangeri chinensis (Chinese tree shrew) is the source of this 527-nucleotide non-coding RNA. NCBI's taxonomy places the organism in Eukaryota, Metazoa, Chordata, Mammalia, Scandentia, Tupaiidae. The record is from the annotation of a RefSeq genome assembly.